Molecule: ribosomal RNA, 253 nt
Filed under: uncultured Eubacteriales bacterium
Lineage: Bacteria; Bacillati; Bacillota; Clostridia; Eubacteriales
Description: uncultured Clostridiales bacterium partial 16S ribosomal RNA
Rfam family: Bacterial small subunit ribosomal RNA
Source: RNAcentral
UACGUAGGGGGCAAGCGUUAUCCGGAUUUACUGGGUGUAAAGGGAGCGUAGACGGCGUGCCAAGUCUGGUGUGAAAGGCCGGGGCUCAACCCCGGGACUGCAUUGGAAACUGGCAUGCUGGAGUGCCGGAGGGGCAAGCGGAAUUCCUAGUGUAGCGGUGAAAUGCGUAGAUAUUAGGAGGAACACCGGUGGCGAAGGCGGCUUGCUGGACGGUAACUGACGCUCAUGCACGAAAGCGUGGGUAUCGAACAGG